GACGAACGCUGGCGGCGUGCCUCAAACAUGCAAGUCGAGCGGGGAACUUUUAAAAGCGCAAGCUUUUAAAAGUUCCUAGCGGCGAACGGGUGAGUAACACGUGGGCAACCUACCCAGAAGACCGGGAUAACGGCUCGAAAGGGCCGCUAAUACCGGAUAAUGUCGGGGUACCGCAUGGUACUCCGAAGAAAGGGGAAACCCGCUUUUGGAUGGGCCCGCGUCCCAUCAGCUAGUUGGUGAGGUAACGGCUCACCAAGGCGACGACGGGUAGCCGGUCUGAGAGGAUGGUCGGCCACACUGGGACUGAGACACGGCCCAGACUCCUACGGGAGGCAGCAGUUGGGAAUCUUGGGCAAUGGGCGAAAGCCUGACCCAGCGACGCCGCGUGAGGGAGAAGGCCUUCGGGUCGUAAACCUCUGUCAUGGGGGAAGAAGCAAGUGACGGUACCCCAAGAGGAAGCCCCUGCUAACUACGUG
RNAcentral lists this ribosomal RNA (476 nucleotides) under uncultured bacterium. RNAcentral describes it as "bacterial SSU rRNA". It matches the Rfam family "Bacterial small subunit ribosomal RNA", at positions 28 to 507 of the family's 1533-position model. The record is from RNAcentral.